ACCACAGGAGCCAAGAAGAGCUCUCAAGCUCAAACCCUAAUCAACAUAAUUUCAUCAAAUUGAAGGGGCAAAUCAAGUCCAAUCAAAAUCUAAGCUCAAAUUAGUGAUCACCUUCAUGAAGGGAUCAUAAGGCAAAGGAAUUGAAUCUUCAAGCGGACGAGCCGGAGUUGAUACGCGCUUGAAGGAAAAGCACUAAAGGUGAAUGUCGAGAGUCCCAGAUGAUGAUCAAGCGACGAAAAGGACCGAACACACGACAUUUAAAGCUUCCGCAAUGAUCUUAUUUUGUUCUAGUUAAAAGUGAAUAUUGUAAACACUUAGAAUUAUAUUUUGGAAUAUUUCUAUACAUGUAAGAAUGUUAACCUGGAAAAGUUUUUGAAAGCUUGCAUUUUAGUA
This is a long non-coding RNA of Helianthus annuus (common sunflower), 393 nucleotides long. RefSeq lists it as uncharacterized. The record is from RefSeq and is a predicted model, not a curated record. NCBI's taxonomy places the organism in Eukaryota, Viridiplantae, Streptophyta, Magnoliopsida, Asterales, Asteraceae. The transcript has 3 exons.